This is a long non-coding RNA of Rhipicephalus sanguineus (brown dog tick), 10220 nucleotides long. RefSeq lists it as uncharacterized. NCBI's taxonomy places the organism in Eukaryota, Metazoa, Arthropoda, Arachnida, Ixodida, Ixodidae. The transcript is spliced from 2 exons. The record is from RefSeq and is a predicted model, not a curated record.
UAUGUGUGCGUGUAUAUAUACACAAGCAAAACUGAAAAAUUUCGGGGGGGGUUUGAACCCCCCCCAACCCCCCCCUUGGCUACGCCCCUGGUAACUGGCAGGAACUAGUCCACGAAGUGUAGAACAAAUCAUUUGCACCUAUCUUGGCAAUGGAUGCACCGAUGCUGUAGUCUCACAGAUAAUUUAUCCACCAAUGUACGUACGGGCAUUUUUCCCUUUGUUGGUUUUCUAUGCACUACAUUCUUUGAAUUCCUUUUCUCAAAAGUUUCUUACUUAUUCACGUGUUGGGCCAUUUUAAAAAUGCAGAAGCCUUUUCAAUGUAACUGCACUGCCACUGCUAAUGCAAACCCAUUCAUGACAAAUUUGCAGUGAAAUUCAUUCAAGUGUUUGUAUGUUAAAAUUGCAAACAUAAUUUAAUUACCACAGUGAAUUUUUUGUAGGACCUCAGUGAUAGAAUGUAGUAGCUAAGGAAAUGCAUUACACUAUCAUUUUGCAAAAAUGCAUUGGAACAUUUUAGCUAGCUGUUACUGUUCAGUGAGCAAUUUUUCACUCAUUCCAUGGGUAAUUAAAAGUGAGUUUUCCAUUUCAGUGAAAUUAGUACCAUAAUUGCAAGGGACAAAUCCAUUUGUUAAGCAGGAGUACAUUAGCUACAAGAAUAUUCUGAGGGUAUAUUCAAAAGUGUGUUGUCGAUCUGUCUCUCUCAGUAAGCGCACAUAGAAAGUGCACUAUCGCAACAUUUGAAACACUGCAAGAAAGAUGUCACCUUUUGACUACUAGACUAGAAGCACAACAUGAGUAACAGUGUGUGAUUUUAAAUCUGUUGACAAUUUUUUGCUCUGCUUUUUCUUGUGGAGAGUGCUUGUUCAGCUGCUGAUAUUUGCUGCAAAUGGUUCAGCCGGAUAGUUCUUAAUUGCACUGCGUGUUCGCUAUAAAACAUUGUGCAGAAAACAUUUUCAGAUAGUGAACAUGGCUGCAGAGAAUCUCACUGAUGACAUUUGCCUGUCUUUUCUUUUUUUUUUUUUAAUUUCUGACAUGACUGAGUGUCCCAGGGGGACCUUGCAUUGUUCUCUUGAGUGUGUUGAGAGAUUAUAAUUUCAUCGUGUUGAUUUGAUCCUAUUAUCACUCAGCAUAGGCUCUUUUUUUUUUCGUCAUUCACAAUACGUGAACGUCUGUAUUUCCUUCCUGAGCCUGGCCUUUCUUUGUUCACAUGUGUUAGCUGAACCGUGUGCUUACUGUUGUAGAUUCAUGUACUUUUAGCUUCCUGUGCAAUGUCGCUAUGUUGUAAUUUGUACAAUCUGUACAACAUUUACUUCAUUACAUUGUUUGCAACAUUUUUGUAUUGCGUUAACAAUAAGACUGUUUACUUGAAAAGAAUCGUCCGUUCAGUCAUUUGAAGUCAACGGUGUGUGCGGAGUUGGGAGUCGGGACUGGAUGGAAAUGGCAAAGAAAAAUUGAAAGCACAGUGGCAUUAAAGUGGCAUUUGUAAGUGAAUAAAAAUAAAGAUAAAUGUUAAAAAUUUCCGAUGGCUUAAUUGGAACCCUGGGCCUCUAGUGUUGAAGCUCUACAUGCUAACCACUGCACCAUAGGUGCAUGCCUAAUCACGCAGAAUAUUAAACACCUUUAAGGAUCACACGCACAAGCAGGCGUGCUUGACACUUGGCAGGUUUUGAAAAAUGCCAACAGUUUCAUGAUGGAUUUCCUACAUACAAGCCAGUGACACGUUAACACACUUGGCAUGUUUUCACAAUGCUGACAGUUUGCCACUGUUCUCAUCUCGUGCAUACAUAUGUCAUCAAACGUGUGAGGCCUGCACCACCACUGGCAACGCUAUUGAUCACUCUUGUAUGUAGCCUAGAGUUGCUCGAACCAGACGGUACCCUGUACCUCGGCGUAAUGCUAACGUGUUUCUCUCACAUUUACCUCUAAACUGAUGCUGACCUUCCUAAUCAGAACUUUAUUAUUUAGCCUCAUGCUACAUUUGACAUUGCACAUUUCUAUUUAGGUGAGACAUUUAUUUGAUGAGCCACCGCACCCUUUUGUACAGCGACUUAGUGUAGGUGGGCUUUUAAUUAUGACUCAUGCAAACGUAACAAGAAUGUUGGAAAGAAAAGGAGGUAUUUCCUGCAUCACAUUGUUGUGGUCAGCACUUUCGUAUGAACAAGGUGCUGCUAUUGAAUAGUAUAUCAUCCAUUGAAUUGUCAUGUUAGGCCAAAGUUGCAUUUAAAAAGGUUUGGAUGUGCGAGAAUGACAUGCAUUAUCUACCAAAAGAGCAUUGACACUUGUUACGUGCGAGCAAGCAGUCAUGAUAAUGCGCAAGUUAACAUUUGCCAUUGUAAAUAUAGCUAGAUUUCACUGUGCCCUUUCCUUUUCCGCUGUUUUUUUUUUUCUUUUUUCAGGUUAUGACCCUUCUUGGAGUUUGACUACACACUUUGUGUUGCACACGUUAUAAUAGUACUUGUAGUGAAGUCGGCACUUGCCUUCAGCAAAGCCAUUUGAAUAGUGUCAAAGAUUUUCAAAAAAUUUUUAUGCAUAGAGAAAUUUGCUCCGUUGUCAUCAUUGUUUUUAUGACUUGAAAUGAGGCACUAAAAUGGAUUACUAUUGGUUUAGUAUAGCAAGCUAGUCCUUGGAAAACUUUUCUUUUAUUAAUAAACAUGUUUAUUAUUCAGAGAGAAAACUGCAGUCAAAGUUUUGCAUUUUUUUAAUUUUGUGUCAAAACCCUAUCAAUAUGUCAAUGUAACAUUGUGUACUUCAAAGCGUGUUUUCAUAUUUUAGCUCAAUAAAGGUUUCUGAAACUUGCCAUACUAAUUUCUGGCUUCUUUAGAACAGAAUGUAAUAAAUUACUGAUAAUAAACUCCUUAGCAGGCACCGGUCAAAUUUAUAAAGUCAGGACAAUCUGGUGUGUAAAGUUCAUGCUGUUGUCAACACCUGUAUUUUCUUCAUGCGACUUUUUCAGGUUACCACUCAUAUUCUUGCAGCAAGAGUGGUGCUUUUCCUAUUGUGGAAUGGUUAUGUACUAAGUCAAUUUUCACUUAAGUGUCUCUGAAAGGAGGCCUUCGUCCCUGCUACGUAUUUCUGCUGCUGUCAGUAUGCUUGUUUGUUUGUUUGUUUGUUUGCUUUUUUAUCUCAUGUUCACUAUGUGUGAUUCACAGGAAAUGCAGGUGUGGUCAACCAAGCCUUACCCAAGCAAGAGUUUCCAUUUUACAGCGUCCCUUCCCUCAACUACUUCUUGACCGGUGCCAACAACGGGCAGUCCCCGUCCUCGUCGACAAACCUGAAUUCCACUCCUCUCACAGACGUCCUAGUUGUGGGUACACGACAGGUGCCAACGACUCCGGCACAGCCACCAAAGGAAUUUCCUUGCACCAUCUGCGGUCGAAAGUUCAGCCUCAAGUGCAAUCUGAACCGACACCAUCUGGUGCACUCAGGUGUGCGCAAUUACGGCUGCGAGGUGUGCGGACAGCGAUUUGUGUUGCGACAGCACCUCAAGAAGCACCUCGAGAGACACGCCAAGGAGUGCUCGUGAGCACCUUUUUGCCUGCUCUCUCGCGUAGUGCUUCACAGUCGAGCCAUGCCUUUGUACUCCUCUGCUCUUCUUUGCCCUUGAACUACUCUCAGAUUGUCUUGGGGCAUGGAAUGUGUCUGUUUUUUAACUAUGAUCACUUGCUUUUUAAAAUCCGCAAUCUGAAACUUAUUGAUUAAAUGCAUGGUGUUCCACAGUCACUGUUUAGUCAGAGAUGUAAUGCCAGCGCGUAUUGCCUGAUCGGCAAGAAAUCAAGUGAAACCAACUGUUAGGUACUUUUGCUUCCUCCUUGCUGUCUUUUGAACUGUUGUUACCUUCUUUUCGGUGUAAAUGCAGUUUCUUAUUUCACUUGAUACCAUCUUUUGAGCAACUAUUUGGAAUUUUCUAUCUGGUUGUGCGUAAUAUGCAUGGUAAUUGUCUUCUUCUCAGUGGAUAAGAAGGUACAUUAGAAAUAUGCUGGCUAGCCUUCUUGUCACACUUCCAAAAGGUGCUCUGGAAUCUUGCUAUUUUCUUUUUACACGUUAUAACUUUCCGUUAAGUUUGUAUUGGUGUACAGGAACUGCCCACGGCGGACAGAGCAUUGAACUGUAGUGCUGUGCAGCCAUCGAGAUGGAUACAAUGUUGGCACCUCAUGUGCGAUUUAUAAUUACAAAAGCUAACAUUGUCCCUGCUGGUUUCAAUAGCAACUGCUUCGGUCCCCCCCCCCCCUCGCUUCCCCCCCUCUGGUUUUGAAGACUAGUGGCAUCAGCGUGCUGCAAUGUGAUAAGCCAGCAUGACCGCAGUGACCAUAGUAGUAGCGGAUUCUACACAGUGACUACACAAACUCAUCAAAGGCAAUCUCACAGGCACUCUUUGUUCAUGCGAGCGGCAACCAAUGUGUGUGCUUGCGCAUGUCAUUGCUGCUGUACAGUAGCCAAAGGUGCAAUGUUCACCAAAGAUUUUCUUUUUCAUCUCACUUUCCAUCUCCACCGACAUCUCACCACUAUCUUCCAUUUCUUAAUAAACCUUUAGGUUUGUGAUUGCUUCUUAAAACGAGUUACUAGAACAUGGGUUAACAAAUGCACACGGAAGUUUAAGCAGGCCACUUGCCUUAUUUGGGCCACAUGAAUUUAUCUGAAUGACCCAGUGAAACUAAUUGCAAUUAAAGGAUUAGCCAGCGUUUCAGAAAGUUAAUCAGUUGGCCAACAACAAGUUUUAAAUGACAGCAGAGUGAGGCGUAAUGCUAGUAGCGCUAAAAAGAAACGUUAAAAAGAGAUUGGCUAACAUGACGGCCUUGUGCUUUCAGUGGAUGAAAUUCUCAAAUCAAACUAAUGUAGAUUUUGACGUUUUAAGAUGAAGCCACAUGCUAUUACCUAAAUAUUUCAUUCCUCUUUUGCCAUUGCUUCGUGUUUUCUUAAGUUUCCAUGUGCAGUGUUUGUGAGAUUUUGUUCUUCGUGAUGCACCUCGGCAAUGUUUUAUUUUUCAUUGUUUAUGCUAUCAUGAGCUCCCGAACAGACAGUGUGAAUAAAUUUGUGUCACACCUACCACGUAAAGUACCGAAGUACUGCUAAGAGGAUUCGCAGAUUCGAAAAUGAGGACACCACAGAUAGUAGUUGUUAAUUUGGAUGGCUUAGCACUGUGCACACAUUGUCCAUGUUUCUAUACACAGUGGUAUCCCGAGUUCACCAGACAUGAGCAUUGAAAACCUCUAAGAUUGAAUUCUUACAUCAGUUACGCAUUUAUUAAUGCAUUCAAAAAUAGUGUUACAUGUUGUAGACUUCUUUUUUUUUUACUGCUAUAUUUAUUCAGUAGGCAGCAUUGCCCACACACCUUAUUUCUUCCAGCUAUCUGCAGAUAAAUAAAAAGACAGUUUUAUAUUAAUUCAGCGUGGGAGCACAGCAUUUUACACUAAUAACUUUAAAUCUGCGGCUGGGAAUAUGCAUUUACACAUAUUCUGAAGCCUAUAUGUAUUAGACUUUUACUCUCAUUUAGCAUCCAAGCUUCACUCUGUCCUUGUACAGGUCUGGAGAUUACUUCGAGCCAGAAGUUAUGAACCAGCACUCAAAGCACAAAUCUGGCAAAGCUUUACUCAAUCAAAAUGCAUAUUGAAGGAGUGGCCCUAUUUGUAUGUCGACCAACUGCGCAGUGGUAAAUGCAAGCUUGGAUCAUCCUUUCUUUUGUGUGCAAGCCAGAAUAAUGACAGCCUAGUACAUUUCUUUUGCUUGAGUACGAGUGUAAUAUGAACUGCACUCGCCAACAACUUGACAAUACGGUACAAGUUGCACGCACAAGACUUGGCUGCAUCUUCCCUUUGUGCCUUCAUACUCCGAAACAUAGUUCCUGAUUAAUGGCUGCUAAUAUUUAAACAAGCUCACUUCCAUUAUUAUCAGCUGACUCACCUAUACAAAUUCUUUUCCGAGAUGCACGGCAGUAUUGUCGGGCCAAUCACAGGUUCGAUAAUAUUGCAAAUGUUUGCCUCUCCUAGUGCGUCCCUCACCACAAUAGAGCAUUGUCGGCGCAUUGCCACAAUAUGUUUCAUGCUGUACGUUUCAUUACAGCGCCACGUUAUUGAGAAACAAUGCUGUGCUUCCGCACUCUUUUAGGUGACUUUGACUCUCCUGAUGCGAUUCCAGAUGUGUUUUCUUGUCACGCCCAAUUCACCCAUCUUAAGUGUGCUGUUAUUUUGAGCAGCUUAAAACUAGUUUUUUUAUGUUGAACAUGUGUGUGUCACCUGCAUACGUUAUCGGCAGUUGCGCCGCCUACCUGUCAUGUACACCUGGCCUUUCAGUUUCACUUGCAUGAUCUUGUACCUUGUAUAAACAAAUGGCUCAUUCAUGAAGUCAAAAAGAAGUUGGAACAGCAUGCUGCCUCUUCUAGUUGCUGUGCAAUAUUGCUUCUUACUCUAUACUUGUUUUCAGCAAGCUUUUACGAUUUAAGUGACCAGCGUAGACAAAGACGAGGGCCGUAGACAAAAUUAGCCUUGUUCCUUAUUUCAGAGUAUUCAGGCGAAGCUUCUUGUUAACAUAUGUUUUUAUGCAACUUCCACAUCUCUGAACAAAGCAAGGGGAAUGCAUCAAGGGCUUGUUGAUUUGUUAUUACUCAACCUAAUGAAACCAAGAAACAAGGACAAUACUUGUAGUUUUUCAACUGUAGUGUAGUAAUUACGAUAUACCUGUAAAGGAAUUAAAGUGGACGAAAAACACAACUUGCCGCCAGUAGGACCACCACCAGUAGGAACUGCAACCUUCGAACAAUAUGUUCGAUACUCUAUUAAUUGAGCUACAGUGGUAGUCAUUCCCCCGUCCACAUUAUUGGCUAUUUCUGCACGUGUUAUCCUGGGAGUGUUAGCCAGUACUGCUCGUAGCCAUGACGGCAUGCGUGGAGCACUAUUUUUCUGCUUGCUGGCGUCACAUAGCACAUUAACGAAGCUGUAUAUUUCUAUCCUGAAACGGUUUCGUCUCCGUGGGCUAAAAACAAAACGCCAAGCCCCUAAACCACCAACAGACACUCGCGCUCGCAUGCUCCUCUGCUAGCAGAUGCAUACGUUCCUCUCGUUUUCACCUCGGACGCCGAGGAAGGGCAUUCGGAUAGAUGGACAGACGAGCCUAACGAACGCGUUCGCUGUAGACUUGUUCACAACUGCAACGCCACAUCUAAAUUCAACCUCUGGGUUAAACCACCCUUUAACAAUUGCAGGCAAACGGCAUAUCUUUCUUUGCAAUCAGACAUACAGCAUAGAGCUCAGUAUUUGUUUCAAUAAAUAAAACCACAAAACAAGCAUCAAAACCGCAUGCUGGAUGCUAAGGCGCCUAAACAAUGGGAACACCCUUCCACGCGUUCCCAGUAAAGAUUAGGUUGCAGCUGCUUUGCACUUCACACGAGGGCUUAGAAUGACGUCAAACAACCCUUCCUUCCCCCCGCUUGUGUUUCCCGCUUUCAUAUAUAAAGGGAGACCCGUCUAGCAACUGCCAUGGGUUGGCCACUGAAAUUAAAGGCACCAGAAGAACAGCUGGAAUACAAUGCUGUACGAAAGGAAGAAUUCAUCUUGCUGAAAAUGGUCGCGGAACCAAUCACAGUCUACCACAGUGACCACAAAGCGAUUACGUAUCACUACCAUUACUCUAAAGUAAUAAUAAAGCAUACCCCCCCCCACUCCCCCCCAUCAGCAUGUGUGGUGUUUGAUACAGCCUUGCUGGACAUUCACGUUCGCAGGACGAAAUGGUGGCCAAUUUUUCGACAAGCUGGCAGCUGACCAAUAAACUCGCGUGCUGUCCUAAGGGUGACCCUCGCUAUGGGGAAAAAAAAAAACAGGAAUGGUUCAUGUGAUCACGUUAUCCUAAGGUUGUAGGUUUGGUCCCCACGGGGGCAACUUGUUUUUCAGUCCACUUUAAUUCCUUUCAAUUUAUGUCUUAAUUACUACACUUCAGUUAAUAAACUGGAAAUGUUGUCGCCCAUGCCUGCCUUGGCCUCACUGUCUCUUGGUUCCACAUCUCUGCAUCAGAUUUAGAAAUGAUAGACCUGCUGUGCAAUGCAUGCAGUUGUGGAAAUUGAAAGUAACGUUGGAAGCCAACGAAUGGAAACACAGUGUGGCGUCAAUGUUUUAACAAGCAGGAAUAGGUUGACUCAGACAGGCAGGCCGACGUUUCGAUAGGCGGACCUAUCUGUCAAAGGCACCUGGUCAUCCUUGGCGUGUCAAAGCGGGCUAGUUGUUGACAUGUCACAUGGUGUUGCACGAAUCUCUGCUCUUUGAAAAGAAGCCUAUCACAGGUUUGAAAACUAUGGCGCAUACAGCAUCCCCUUGGCGUUCCCUGCCAUGCAGCGACGUUCGACACAUUGUUAGGCCGACAAGCUGCCUCAUUGCCAUCAUCUUUAUACUGUCGUGGCCGUUCAUUAACGUACAACAAAAUUUGCGUAGGAUGUCAUGAGCGCAUGAAGGCCUUGGAUGACAGGUAACAACGUGAAAAUCUUGACACGCAUGUCUUGUAAAUAUGAUCUAGGUGCCUGAGUCUGUGUUCUCAUGACCAUUUGGUUAGCUUCAUAUAUGCCACAAUUUGCAUAGCACAAUAUGAAUGUAUGAGUAACGCGACUGGCAUGUCGGGACACAAAUAUUGUUAGUUGCUUAUUGUGUACGCCGCCUGCUUCACAUAACAUGAUUCUCAUGGUGCGAGCGAACCAGCAUCUCGGAGGCGUUUUAAUGUUGAGCAUGUGGAGCAUCCCCUCUGCGUUUCCUGCCGCGCUGUGGCACUCAGUGUAUUGUUUGCCCGGCACUCCACAUCGCAAGUGGAAACAGAAAGCGGACACUUUAUUUUGUGCAUCUCGGCAGUAGCUUUCAAACUGACAAAAAGAAAUAUGUGUUGAUCUCGACGGUGCAAGACUAACCUGCCUUUCACGUACGUACGAUGCUCGCUUUUACAGCUUGCAUCUCGAAUGAUGCUACUACAAGUGCAUCUUGCUUGCCUGGUUUAAAGGGGUCAUGAAGCACUCCUUGGGCUUGUUGAAAAAACACAUCCUGCGGAAAGCUGACACGGCUAUGAACUGCUCUGCCAAAUAUUAGUCGUGCGCACCGCAUAAAGGCCACAAGCGGAGCGCGAAGUUGCCGUUUCCUCAGGUGCCCUCUUUUCAAACAGAGGCCGGUUCUCACUCUCGUUCGGUGGGCGGGGCGUCUGCACGUUGACGUCACGGAUCUGCCAGUUUACGUCGCAAGAGACAUAGCAUGCUUAUUGGCCGAUAGCUGAUGUAAAUCGAGAGCGGCGUUCCGAUCAGAUGCGCUCCUUGCCGCGGGGUGCCGCCUCUUGCCGGCGCCACACUCCUCAGUACACGGUGGCCGCACUCGCGCAAGCGAAUCACAGUGGGAGAGCUGAUCGCGUUUCAUGACGCGCGCUGACGUAACUUCUUUCCCCCGUGCCAUCCCUCCCUGUCUAGCUUCCAGUGCGCUCGUCGGCACGAGAAAAGAGAGAAAGCGCUGGGAGCGUGCGCCAAACCCCCUGUAACUCCGCUGAUUCUUGACGGAUUCGAGAAAUUUUUGCGGCAAUCGAUUCGGGAGGCAGUAAACUCCGAUACUGAGGUCAUUAGAUCAUUACUUGGAAAAGUGGUUCAUGACCCCUUUAAGUCUUCUAGUUGUUGUAACAAGGAUGGACGCAGGGCUUGCAUUUUAUCCUCCAUUUCGUGUGCAGUUCAAGCAAAACUAAUCGUAGGGCUUAUUUCUAUGUGUUUCAGAGUGUUUUUAUGUAAUUUAUAAAACAUUUUCCACUACAUAAUUUCACAAAUAUGGUGAAAGAAAUGCCUUACAAAUGUCUGUGUGCAGUCUCUGUGCUAAUAUAUUUCAAGCAGACACGCUGCACAGUGGUAUAGAUGUUCUGUAUUUUUUUUUUCAUUUUAUGAGUAAGUGAACAAGGAACGGAAAUCUCUUUCACAAGCUUACCAACAUUCUGUCACUGUGCAUUAUUUCAGUGUAUACCCACAAGCACUGUUAUGUUGACCUUUACUUGAGUCAUUUGCAUGGCGCUAGCUAUACAAGGUCAGUGCCAUACGCUGGGGCCAUGUGCUAGGCCGUGCAUCAAGUUGUCGGCUACCGCAGCUACUUUUGGAAGAUUUUAAGGAACAGUUUUGCCAAGAGAUUUCUCUGGCUGCAUUUAAUGCUGCCAGUGCCUGUGAGCUAUGUGCAGCAGUGAUUUGCAUAGUAUGGUGUCUGUAAUAUACGUGUCAGAUCAAUAAAAUAAUG